RNAcentral lists this ribosomal RNA (433 nucleotides) under uncultured bacterium. RNAcentral describes it as "partial 16S ribosomal RNA". It matches the Rfam family "Bacterial small subunit ribosomal RNA", at positions 29 to 507 of the family's 1533-position model. The record is from RNAcentral.
AGCGAACGCUGGCGGCAGGCCUAACACAUGCAAGUCGAACGAACUCUUCGGAGUUAGUGGCGGACGGGUGAGUAACACGUGGGAACGUGCCUUUAGGUUCGGAAUAACUCAGGGAAACUUGUGCUAAUACCGAAUGUGCCCUUCGGGGGAAAGAUUUAUCGCCUUUAGAGCGGCCCGCGUCUGAUUAGCUAGUUGGUGAGGUAAAGGCUCACCAAGGCGACGAUCAGUAGCUGGUCUGAGAGGAUGAUCAGCCACAUUGGGACUGAGACACGGCCCAAACCUCCUCCGGGAGGCGCCAGUGGGGAUCCUUGCGCAUUGGCGAAAGCCUGACGCAGCCAUGCCGCGUGAAUGAUGAAGGUCUUAGGAUUGUAAAAUUCUUUCACCGGGGACGAUAAUGACGGUACCCGGAGAAGAAGCCCCGGCUAACUUCGUG